AUUCACCCAACAACAUUUUUGAUGCAUGAUGCAUAUGGUGCUAAAUGCUGGGAAUGCAAACCUGAGUAAGUGUCUAUUUCAAAUCAAUAGGAGUACUUGAAGAUUCUCCCUGCUUACAAUGUAAACAUCAUGAAGAAAGAGAUGUGUUGGACUUGUUCAUCGCUAUAUUUCCUGGCUCAGAUCCUGGCACUGAGUAGACAUCAAGAAAUAUUUAAAUGAAUGAAAGAAUGAAUGAAUGAAUGAACGAACUGUGUCCUCUUGUAGAGCUGAGGGUGUUUUACCACUACCCUAAGAGCUGACACCAGGAGGUCUUGCUGCAAAGCCAGGCACUGUAUUCCACACUGUAUUUCCAUCAUCGCUUUUAAUGAGACUUCUUUGCAAAUAUGUAUGGUAUCUUUUAAAAUACCUGAUAACCAGCCAGCAGGGGUGGUCAGCUGCUACACUGGUAGCCACAAACAGAAUCCAAGACACAGAACUUCAUACGGUGUCACAGCUUCAUUUUCCAGGCUACAGCUCCCACUGCCCACAUCAGAACCAUCUGCAGGUCCAUAAGCUGUGAGUUUCUUUGGGAGUUGGGGGAGUGUCUUUUGGAUGUUUAUAACUUAUGCAUCUUAAUAUUGAAUGUGCACUUAAUACAUGGAACUUCAUAGUACUUGAUUUUUUAUGCAAAAAUGACUUAAUUAAAAUUUCUUGAAGAAA
This 699-nucleotide long non-coding RNA is filed under the name Homo sapiens (human). RNAcentral describes it as "non-protein coding lnc-PRKCQ-2:4". The record is from RNAcentral. Lineage: Eukaryota; Metazoa; Chordata; Mammalia; Primates; Hominidae.